GGCUAGCGUUGCUCGGAAUCACUGGGCGUAAAGCGCACGUAGGCGGAUUGCUAAGUCAGGGGUGAAAUCCUGGAGCUCAACUCCAGAACUGCCCUUGAUACUGGCGGUCUCGAGUCCGGGAGAGGUGAGUGGAACUGCGAGUGUAGAGGUGAAAUUCGUAGAUAUUCGCAAGAACACCAGUGGCGAAGGCGGCUCACUGGCCCGGUACUGACGCUGAGGUGCGAAAGCGUGGGGAGCAAACAGG
RNAcentral lists this ribosomal RNA (244 nucleotides) under uncultured bacterium. RNAcentral describes it as "partial 16S ribosomal RNA". It matches the Rfam family "Bacterial small subunit ribosomal RNA", at positions 533 to 776 of the family's 1533-position model. The record is from RNAcentral.